UACGGAGGAUGCGAGCGUUAUCCGGAUUUAUUGGGUUUAAAGGGUGCGCAGGCGGAUUUUUAAGUCAGCGGUCAAAUCGUGGGGCUCAACCCCAUCCAGCCGUUGAAACUGGGGAUCUAGAGUGGGCGAGAAGUAUGCGGAAUGCGUGGUGUAGCGGUGAAAUGCAUAGAUAUAUGGAAGAACACCAGUGGCGAAGGCGGCCGCCUGGCCUGUUACUGACGCUGAGGCACGAAAGCGUGGGGAGCAAAUAGG
Molecule: ribosomal RNA, 252 nt
Filed under: uncultured Bacteroidales bacterium
Lineage: Bacteria; Pseudomonadati; Bacteroidota; Bacteroidia; Bacteroidales
Description: partial 16S ribosomal RNA
Rfam family: Bacterial small subunit ribosomal RNA
Source: RNAcentral